GACGAACCGUGCGAACGUUAUUCGGAAUCACUGGGCUUAAAGCGCGUGUAGGCGGAAGGGCACGUCGGUUGCUGAAAGCCCCCGGCUCAACCGGGGAACGGGCGCCGAAACGACCUUUCUCGAGGGGCGUAGGGGGAGCUGGAACUUCCGGUGGAGCGGUGAAAUGCGUUGAGAUCGGAAGGAACGCCCGUGGCGAAAGCGAGCUCCUGGACGCCAUCUGACGCUGAGACGCGAAAGCCAGGGGAGCGAACGGG
RNAcentral lists this ribosomal RNA (254 nucleotides) under uncultured bacterium. RNAcentral's name for it is "partial 16S ribosomal RNA". It matches the Rfam family "Bacterial small subunit ribosomal RNA", at positions 524 to 776 of the family's 1533-position model. The record is from RNAcentral.